UGGGGAAUUUUGGACAAUGGGCGAAAGCCUGAUCCAGCAAUGCCGCGUGUGUGAAGAAGGCCUUCGGGUUGUAAAGCACUUUUGUCCGGAAAGAAAUGGCUCUGGUUAAUACCUGGGGUCGAUGACGGUACCGGAAGAAUAAGGACCGACUAACUACGUGCCAGCAGCCGCGGUAAUACGUAGGGUCCAAGCGUUAAUCGGAAUUACUGGGCAUAAAGCGUGCGCAGGCGGUUGUGCAAGACCGAUGUGAAAUCCCCGAGCUUAACUUGGGAAUUGCAUUGGUGACUGCACGGCUAGAGUGUGUCAGAGGGGGGUAGAAUUCCACGUGUAGCAGUGAAAUGCGUAGAGAUGUGGAGGAAUACCGAUGGCGAAGGCAGCCCCCUGGGAUAACACUGACGCUCAUGCACGAAAGCGUGGGGAGCAAACAGG
Molecule: ribosomal RNA, 429 nt
Filed under: Bacillota bacterium
Lineage: Bacteria; Bacillati; Bacillota
Description: Firmicutes bacterium partial 16S ribosomal RNA
Rfam family: Bacterial small subunit ribosomal RNA
Source: RNAcentral